Molecule: ribosomal RNA, 180 nt
Filed under: uncultured bacterium
Lineage: Bacteria
Description: partial 16S ribosomal RNA
Rfam family: Bacterial small subunit ribosomal RNA
Source: RNAcentral
CCUACGGGACGCAGCAGUGGGGAAUUUGGACAAUGGGCGCAAGCCUGAUCCAGCCAUGCCGCGUGCGGGUAGAAGGCCUCGGGUUGUAAUCCGCUUUGUCAGGAAGAAACGCUCCGGCUUAUACCCGGGUAAUGACGGUACCUGAAGAAUAAGCACCGCUAACUACGUCCCAGCAGCCGC